UACGGAGGGGGCUAGCGUUGUUCGGAAUUACUGGGCGUAAAGGGCGCGCAGGCGGCUGCUCAAGUCAGGCGUGAAAGGCCUGGGCUCAACCCGGGAAUUGCGCUUGAGACUGGGCUGGCUUGAGUGCGGGAGAGGAUGGUGGAAUUCCCAGUGUAGAGGUGAAAUUCGUAGAGAUGUGGAGGAACACCGAUGGCGAAGGCAGCCUCCUGGGCCGACACUGACGCUGAGGGCACGAAAGCGUGGGGAGCAAACAGG
RNAcentral lists this ribosomal RNA (255 nucleotides) under uncultured bacterium. RNAcentral describes it as "partial 16S ribosomal RNA". It matches the Rfam family "Bacterial small subunit ribosomal RNA", at positions 524 to 776 of the family's 1533-position model. The record is from RNAcentral.